This 408-nucleotide ribosomal RNA is filed under the name uncultured Polaribacter sp. Its description in RNAcentral is "bacterial SSU rRNA". It matches the Rfam family "Bacterial small subunit ribosomal RNA", at positions 71 to 477 of the family's 1533-position model. The record is from RNAcentral. Lineage: Bacteria; Pseudomonadati; Bacteroidota; Flavobacteriia; Flavobacteriales; Flavobacteriaceae.
ACAUUGUGCUUGCACAGAUGACGACCGGCGCACGGGUGCGUAACGCGUAUAGAACCUACCUUUUACAGAGGAAUAGCCUUUAGAAAUGAAGAUUAAUGCCUCAUAGUAUUGUAGACUGGCAUCAGUUUAUAAUUAAAGAUUUAUCGGUAAAAGAUGGCUAUGCGUCCUAUUAGUUAGUUGGUAAGGUAACGGCUUACCAAGACAGCGAUAGGUAGGGGUCCUGAGAGGGAGAUCCCCCACACUGGUACUGAGACACGGACCAGACUCCUACGGGAGGCAGCAGUGAGGAAUAUUGGACAAUGGAGGAGACUCUGAUCCAGCCAUGCCGCGUGUAGGAAGAAUGCCCUAUGGGUUGUAAACUACUUUUAUACAGGAAGAAACACUGGUAUGUAUACCAGCUUGACGGUA